Molecule: long non-coding RNA, 1947 nt
Organism: Mesocricetus auratus (golden hamster)
Lineage: Eukaryota; Metazoa; Chordata; Mammalia; Rodentia; Cricetidae
Exons: 4
Source: RefSeq, a predicted model, not a curated record
GCGAUCCGCUGGAGAGGUGGAGGGGGAGCCAUGGCUCUGCAGCCUGCGAACGACCCCUCCUUUCCCCCUGCUCCCUCCCGCCAGAGCCCUCCAUAUCCUUGGGCUUCAGAGGACGCUGCCUCCCCCAUCUCUGAGUGACCCUCACCCACAUCUCACGCCGCUGAGCCUCGGUCUGCCUGCCCCUCCUGGCCUGCCACCCAGAAGGUGCUUAUCGAGAUAUGGCCCUAAACUACAAGUGCUGAAGAUGCUGUUCCGCUGACUCACACCUGGGAGAAGACGAUGGUAUGACUAACUCAGGCUUCUUGAGAGUUGUCUCAAUCUGAUUUCUGUUGCCAACGACCCAGCACCACAGACUGGGUGAGGUGAGAAGAGAAGGGGUUUAUUUUGGUUUCAUUUCUGGUUUACUGUCAUGGGCCACAUCUGGGGAUGGCUUUUCUGCUGGCAGUGUCCCAAGAUGCAAGACAUCAUGUGGAAUUAAACUCGAGUCGUCUGGAAGUGCAGCCAAUGCUGUUGAUCCCUGAGCCACCUCUCCAGGCUGACUUCUGACCCAGCUGUGCCGUUGUCCUCAGCUCCUGAAAUAAGAACAGGCAGGAAGUGUUCUGUGGCAUGCCUGGAAACACACACAGAAGCAAAGUCCAUGAGCUUUCUGGGCAGAGGGGCAGCAUGGUGGGAAGCAUGGGUGGCGAUAGCAGGUGGAGAUUACCUCUUCUCUGGAUGUUCUUCCUGGAGGAUGCUGACGCCAAGCCAAGGAGUUUCCACACUGUCAUGGCAUGGUAACCUUGGACUGUGAGUAGGGUGUUCCAGAUUUCCUGGAUCUUAAGUCAGGCAUACAUGGGGGCGCUGGUGAGCACCUAAGUUGUGCGGUGAGCCUGACCCCAUGUGCAGGUCUAGAUUCUGUAGUAUUUCAAAUUAGUAUGCAUGGCUUGGCUGGAGAAAUCAUCCAGCAGAAAAAAUGUGGGACCUAGGGUGGAGGCUGAGGGAGUCCAGGGGACCGAAUUCUCCCUCAGGGACACUGUCACUAUUACUGUUGAUUUUAUGUGAUUAUGAAUAAAGAAAUCCAAACACGGAGUAAGAUAAAUCUUCACAAUCUUGUUCCUUAGCCAUGAUGGUAGUCAUGUUUGGUCACUGUUGAAGUUCCUGGACCAACCAACUACUUCAGACAGAUCCCCUCUGAGAUGUUUCCUCUCAUUCGGUGGCCUCCCCGCAAAAAUCUUUUGUGCUCAGAAAUAGCAUUCUUUUCCCUCCAGGCAUGGCCAGCUCCGUACCCUUGACUGUCAUCUGCCAUUCUCGUUCAGGAAGACGCCUGGGCCAAGUUGUCGUGCUCCAGUUCCCACCGCUUCUUCCAUAGCCUAAAGUUGCCUGGACUAGAAGGUUCUGGGCUCCCUGUGCGGCCAGUGUCCAAAGUGACCCAGGACGGUGCCUCUGUGCUCUCUCCAGCCUUGAGCCAUACCUGGCUGCUGUAGGAGCCCUCAAGCAGCCCUGCGGAGAAGCUGCGUUGAUGGUCUGGGAUCCCUGGCCAUAGCUAGCACCUGCCUACCUGCCUGGCUCUGGGUUGCUUUGGCAAUGUACACUUAGGGGGCUGGACGCCUGCUCUGCUCAGCUGCAGCUCUCCCGUGACGGUCUGUGUAUCUUGGGCCUGAUUCACCAUGCGCACUGGUUUAGGGUGGGCCAGAGCUGAUUCAGAGUGAAGCCUGCUGGGAUAUUCCUUUCCCAAGGCCUUGCUAGUUAGAAUCACAGGUGCGUGGGCUCACAAAACGGCUCAGUCUGUAAAAGUGCCUGCCGCCAAGCUUGAUGACCUGAGUUUGAACCCUGGGACUCACAAGGUAGAAGGAAGAACCAGCCACAAGUUGUCCUCCCUCUGACCUCCAUGUGGACACUGUGGUACAUAUCCCUAACCCCAUGAAAUAAAUAAGUGUGAUCUAAAAAAAUUUAAAAAAAGAGUUUCAA